GGGCAGCUAGAUCAGCUGGAAGAUCGCCGCCUUCGCAAGGCGGAGGCCAGGGGUUCAAAUCCCCUGCUGUCCA
This 73-nucleotide transfer RNA is filed under the name Methanomassiliicoccales archaeon. RNAcentral's name for it is "tRNA-Ala". It matches the Rfam family "tRNA". Rfam says of the family: Transfer RNA (tRNA) molecules are approximately 80 nucleotides in length. The record is from RNAcentral. Lineage: Archaea; Methanobacteriati; Thermoplasmatota; Thermoplasmata; Methanomassiliicoccales. RNAcentral also lists the same sequence under 1 other name.